This 297-nucleotide long non-coding RNA is filed under the name Physcomitrium patens. Its description in RNAcentral is "long non-coding RNA (PPAT_LNC003078)". Lineage: Eukaryota; Viridiplantae; Streptophyta; Bryopsida; Funariales; Funariaceae. The record is from RNAcentral.
CCUUUUGCUCCUUCAUGCUUGCCUCUAAUCCAGGUGCCUCUUCCUCCUCACAUACUAUCUCCCAAAGAUCCAAUGACGCCAAAAGUAGCUCCAUUUUGGCCUUCCAGUGGUGAAAUUUGUCACCUCUAAACUUUUCUACCAUUCUUAAGCUAUCACUCUCCAAAGAUGCCAUCUCAAGCUACAAGUAGGUCCAAAAAUCUCUUGAUUUGGAGUUGUAAUGCAAAAGAUAUGACUACUCAAAGAUUUCUGAACUACAAACUCAGAAUUCGCUGUUUUGCAACUUUUUGCAUACUUUGA